This 685-nucleotide ribosomal RNA is filed under the name Bacillus sp. (in: firmicutes). RNAcentral describes it as "bacterial SSU rRNA". It matches the Rfam family "Bacterial small subunit ribosomal RNA", at positions 75 to 747 of the family's 1533-position model. The record is from RNAcentral. Lineage: Bacteria; Bacillati; Bacillota; Bacilli; Caryophanales; Bacillaceae.
CUUGCUUCUAUGACGUUAGCGGCGGACGGGUGAGUAACACGUGGGCAACCUGCCUGUAAGACUGGGAUAACUUCGGGAAACCGAAGCUAAUACCGGAUAGGAUCUUCUCCUUCAUGGGAGAUGAUUGAAAGAUGGUUUCGGCUAUCACUUACAGAUGGGCCCGCGGUGCAUUAGCUAGUUGGUGAGGUAACGGCUCACCAAGGCAACGAUGCAUAGCCGACCUGAGAGGGUGAUCGGCCACACUGGGACUGAGACACGGCCCAGACUCCUACGGGAGGCAGCAGUAGGGAAUCUUCCGCAAUGGACGAAAGUCUGACGGAGCAACGCCGCGUGAGUGAUGAAGGCUUUCGGGUCGUAAAACUCUGUUGUUAGGGAAGAACAAGUACGAGAGUAACUGCUCGUACCUUGACGGUACCUAACCAGAAAGCCACGGCUAACUACGUGCCAGCAGCCGCGGUAAUACGUAGGUGGCAAGCGUUAUCCGGAAUUAUUGGGCGUAAAGCGCGCGCAGGCGGUUUCUUAAGUCUGAUGUGAAAGCCCACGGCUCAACCGUGGAGGGUCAUUGGAAACUGGGGAACUUGAGUGCAGAAGAGAAAAGCGGAAUUCCACGUGUAGCGGUGAAAUGCGUAGAGAUGUGGAGGAACACCAGUGGCGAAAGCGGCUUUUUUGGUCUGUAACUGACGCU